This 189-nucleotide small nuclear RNA is filed under the name Cricetulus griseus (Chinese hamster). Its description in RNAcentral is "7SK RNA". It matches the Rfam family "7SK RNA", at positions 1 to 200 of the family's 331-position model. Rfam says of the family: 7SK was discovered as an abundant small nuclear RNA in the mid-70s but a possible function has only recently been suggested. Two independent studies have found that 7SK RNA binds the CDK9/cyclin T complex (known as elongation factor P-TEFb). The record is from Rfam by way of RNAcentral. Lineage: Eukaryota; Metazoa; Chordata; Mammalia; Rodentia; Cricetidae.
AGAUGUGACCAUUAGAUGGAAAGGUGCUUGGUACCAUUGACCGCCAUGUUUGAGUCUGCUGACCUGGCUGGAUGGGCAGUGUUCCCUUUCUCCCUCUCUAUCCCAUGCAUGUUCCUGCUAAAGCUAUGCACUCAGAGCAUGGCCUUCCCCACAGGGAAGAGCUACUCCUUUGGCAAGGAUACUUGAGUA